This 771-nucleotide ribosomal RNA is filed under the name uncultured bacterium. RNAcentral's name for it is "bacterial SSU rRNA". It matches the Rfam family "Bacterial small subunit ribosomal RNA", at positions 8 to 796 of the family's 1533-position model. The record is from RNAcentral.
AGAGUUUGAUCAUGGCUCAGGACGAACGCUGGCGGCGUGCUUAACACAUGCAAGUCGAGCGGAAAGGCCCUUCGGGGUACUCGAGCGGCGAACGGGUGAGUAACACGUGAGUAACCUGCCCUUGGCUCUGGGAUAAGCCCGGGAAACUGGGUCUAAUACCGGAUAUGACCCUCCACCGCAUGGUGUGAGGGUGGAAAGUUUUUCGGCUGAGGAUGGACUCGCGGUCUAUCAGCUUGUUGGUGGGGUGAUGGCCUACCAAGGCGACGACGGAUAGCCGGCCUGAGAGGGUGACCGGCCACACUGGGACUGAGACACGGCCCAGACUCCUACGGGAGGCAGCAGUGGGGAAUAUUGCGCAAUGGGCGGAAGCCUGACGCAGCGACGCCGCGUGGGGGAUGAAGGCCUUCGGGUUGUAAACCUCUUUCACCACCGACGAAGCUAACGUGACGGUAGGUGGGGAAGAAGCGCCGGCUAACUACGUGCCAGCAGCCGCGGUAAUACGUAGGGCGCAAGCGUUGUCCGGAAUUAUUGGGCGUAAAGAGCUCGUAGGUGGUCUGUCACGUCUGCCGUGAAAACCCGAGGCUUAACCUCGGGCCUGCGGUGGAUACGGGCAGACUAGAGGUAGGUAGGGGAGAACGGAAUUCCCGGUGUAGCGGUGAAAUGCGCAGAUAUCGGGAGGAACACCGGUGGCGAAGGCGGUUCUCUGGGCCUUACCUGACGCUGAGGAGCGAAAGCGUGGGGAGCGAACAGGAUUAGAUACCCUAGUAGUCC